GUUAAUGUAGCUUAUACAAAGCAAGGCACUGAAAAUGCCUAGAUGAGUAAUCAUACUCCAUAAACA
RNAcentral lists this transfer RNA (66 nucleotides) under Dactylomys dactylinus (Amazon bamboo rat). Its description in RNAcentral is "tRNA-Phe". It matches the Rfam family "tRNA". From Rfam's summary of the family: Transfer RNA (tRNA) molecules are approximately 80 nucleotides in length. Their secondary structure includes four short double-helical elements and three loops (D, anti-codon, and T loops). Further hydrogen bonds mediate the characteristic L-shaped molecular structure. tRNAs have two regions of fundamental functional importance: the anti-codon, which is responsible for specific mRNA codon recognition, and the 3' end, to which the tRNAs corresponding amino acid is attached (by aminoacyl-tRNA synthetases). tRNAs cope with the degeneracy of the genetic code in two manners: having more than one tRNA (with a specific anti-codon) for a particular amino acid; and 'wobble' base-pairing, i.e. permitting non-standard base-pairing at the 3rd anti-codon position. The record is from RNAcentral. Lineage: Eukaryota; Metazoa; Chordata; Mammalia; Rodentia; Echimyidae.